CCUACGGGUGGCAGCAGUGAGGAAUAUUGGUCAAUGGUCGGGAGACUGAACCAGCCAAGCCGCGUGAGGGAUGAAGGUACAGCGUAUCAUAAACCUCUUUUGUCAGGGAACAAAGCCGGGUACGUGUCCCCCUAUGCGAGUACCCGAAGAAAAAGCAUCGGCUAACUCCGUGCCAGCAGCCGCGGUAAUACGGAGGAUGCGAGCGUUAUCCGGAUUUAUUGGGUUUAAAGGGUGCGCAGGCGGAGGAUCAAGUCAGCGGUAAAAUUGAGAGGCUCAACCGCUUCGAGCCGUGGAAACUGGUGUGCUUGAGUGAGCGAGAAGUAGGCGGAAUGCGUGGUGUAGCGGUGAAAUGCAUAGAUAUCACGCAGAACUACGAUUGCGAAGGCAGCAUGCCGGAGCGCAACUGACGCUCAUGCACGAAAGUGUGGGUAUCGAACAGGAUUAGAUACCCCAGUAGUC
RNAcentral lists this ribosomal RNA (459 nucleotides) under uncultured bacterium. RNAcentral's name for it is "partial 16S ribosomal RNA". It matches the Rfam family "Bacterial small subunit ribosomal RNA", at positions 338 to 795 of the family's 1533-position model. The record is from RNAcentral.